AUUCAACUCCGUCGACUGGUUCUAUUAUCUUUGCGAAAAUAUAUCAUAUUACCGCAUUCCGAAGUCAGAAAAAAAAAAUGACUUCAUUUGCGCUCUGACUCUCAAUGCCGCUGCAUUUGAAGGGAAAAAAAAUUCUCUCUUUCCUCUCCUGUUUUUUUUUUCAUUUGAAAAUUUACGAAAAUCUUAUUUCGUGGCGUAUUAAAAGUAAAAAUUUUCGAACUGUGUUUCAUCCCAAGUGCAAAAAAAAAUUUCGUGUCUCCUACAAGUGUAACAUUAAAUAUAAACGUAAAACUUCAGCUGUGAAAACAAAAUUCUGGUGUACACAAGUGUAUUAUCAAGUGUGAGAAAACGGAAUUACUUCCUUGCUCUGUAUAAGCACUAUGUUUCGACAGGGCGUAACGUUGAACGAGUUUUGCCGACAUCGCGCGUCCAUAUAUAUUAUCCUCCGGAUCGUGGCAUAUCUACGGAUGCUGAUGGACCCACAACCCCCGAAUCGUGGCGUGUGGCUAUGCGACCAGAUCGACACAUUAGUCCAGCCGCGUCUUCCUCCUCAUGAGCGUUUUGAGCCAGAGGGCUCAUUGGUUCGAACUCGGGCGUUUUUUUAUGCCCGCACUUUAAGUGCCCCGUUGCGGUCAUUUCAGUCUCCGGAUAUGCACGUCUUUUGGCAGUUAUGGCCCGAGCUUGAAAAGAUCGCUAUCGGUAAAAUUAUCGCCGAACAACUUUCGUCGGAAACGCCGCCCGCCCUUCCAGACGCAGCUGCAUAGGAAUUAAUAAACAUCUAUUUUUGUGCACUACACUGUUAAAAAGAAAUAAUAAAUUUCCAAUAUGUUUACCAACCAUAUGUUAUGGAAAUUUACAAAUUAGCGUAUUGUAAAACUAAACAGUGAACAAUAUUCGUAAAAUUACAAUGUCUCACUGUAAAAAUGACAUUCAAAUUGUACAAUCACAAAAAAAUUGUUAUUUUACAUUAUUUUCGUAUGAAUCAGAUACGUAUAGUAAUUUUACAAUAGUAUAGUUAAAAUUUUAACACCAAUAUGGUAAAUUUAUUAUAAAUUCGUGUAAUUAAACUUACCAUAAUUGUUGGUAAAUUUUGGGCAAAAAUUUGAUUUCUA
Microplitis mediator is the source of this 1112-nucleotide long non-coding RNA. RefSeq lists it as uncharacterized. NCBI's taxonomy places the organism in Eukaryota, Metazoa, Arthropoda, Insecta, Hymenoptera, Braconidae. The record is from RefSeq and is a predicted model, not a curated record. The transcript has 4 exons.